GAUGAACGCUGGCGGCGUGCCUAAUACAUGCAAGUCGAGCGAACAGACGAGGAGCUUGCUCCUCUGACGUUAGCGGCGGACGGGUGAGUAACACGUGGAUAACCUACCUAUAAGACUGGGAUAACUUCGGGAAACCGGAGCUAAUACCGGAUAAUAUAUUGAACCGCAUGGUUCAAUAGUGAAAGACGGUUUUGCUGUCACUUAUAGAUGGAUCCGCGCCGCAUUAGCUAGUUGGUAAGGUAACGGCUUACCAAGGCGACGAUGCGUAGCCGACCUGAGAGGGUGAUCGGCCACACUGGAACUGAGACACGGUCCAGACUCCUACGGGAGGCAGCAGUAGGGAAUCUUCCGCAAUGGGCGAAAGCCUGACGGAGCAACGCCGCGUGAGUGAUGAAGGUCUUCGGAUCGUAAAACUCUGUUAUUAGGGAAGAACAAAUGUGUAAGUAACUAUGCACGUCCUGACGGUACCUAAUCAGAAAGCCACGGCCAACUACGUG
RNAcentral lists this ribosomal RNA (497 nucleotides) under uncultured bacterium. Its description in RNAcentral is "partial 16S ribosomal RNA". It matches the Rfam family "Bacterial small subunit ribosomal RNA", at positions 28 to 507 of the family's 1533-position model. The record is from RNAcentral.